This 253-nucleotide ribosomal RNA is filed under the name uncultured bacterium. RNAcentral describes it as "partial 16S ribosomal RNA". It matches the Rfam family "Bacterial small subunit ribosomal RNA", at positions 524 to 776 of the family's 1533-position model. The record is from RNAcentral.
UACGAAGGGGGCGAGCGUUGUUCGGAAUUACUGGGCGUAAAGGGCGCGCAGGCGGUCCUUCAAGUCAGAUGUGAAAGCCCCGGGCUCAACCUGGGAACUGCAUUUGAGACUGGAGGACUUGAGGACGGGAGAGGAGAGUGGAAUUCCCAGUGUAGAGGUGAAAUUCGUAGAUAUUGGGAAGAACACCUGUGGCGAAAGCGGCUCACUGGACCAUUACUGACACUGAGGCACGAAAGCUAGGGGAGCAAACGGG